AGUGAACGCUGGCGGUAGGCCUAACACAUGCAAGUCGAACGGCAGCACAGUAAGAGCUUGCUCUUACGGGUGGCGAGUGGCGGACGGGUGAGGAAUACAUCCGAAUCUACUUUUUCGUGGGGGAUAACGUAGGGAAACUUACGCUAAUACCGCAUACGACCUACGGGUGAAAGCAGGGGAUCUUCGGACCUUGCGCGAUUGAAUGAGCCGAUGUCGGAUUAGCUGGUUGGCGGGGUAAAGGCCCACCAAGGCGACGAUCCGUAGCUGGUCUGAGAGGAUGAUCAGCCAAAACGGAACUGGAACACGGUCCCGAAUCCUAAGGGAGGCAGCAGUGGGGAAUAUUGGACAAUGGGCGGAAGCCUGAACCAGCCAUACCGCGUGGGUGAAGAAGGCCUUCGGGUUGUAAAGCCCUUUUGUUGGGAAAGAAAAGCAGCAGGUUAAUAACCCGCUGUUCUGAAGGUACCCAAAGAAUAAGCACCGGCUAGCUUCGUG
This 492-nucleotide ribosomal RNA is filed under the name uncultured bacterium. RNAcentral describes it as "partial 16S ribosomal RNA". It matches the Rfam family "Bacterial small subunit ribosomal RNA", at positions 29 to 507 of the family's 1533-position model. The record is from RNAcentral.